Molecule: ribosomal RNA, 506 nt
Filed under: uncultured bacterium
Lineage: Bacteria
Description: partial 16S ribosomal RNA
Rfam family: Bacterial small subunit ribosomal RNA
Source: RNAcentral
AUUGAACGCUGGCGGUAGGCCUAACACAUGCAAGUCGAACGGCAGCACAGAGGAGCUUGCUCCUUGGGUGGCGAGUGGCGGACGGGUGAGGAAUACAUCGGAAUCUACUCUGUCGUGGGGGAUAACGUAGGGAAACUUACGCUAAUACCGCAUACGACCUACGGGUGAAAGCAGGGGACCUUCGGGCCUUGCGCGAUUGAAUGAGCCGAUGUCGGAUUAGCUAGUUGGCGGGGUAAAGGCCCACCAAGGCGACGAUCCGUAGCUGGUCUGAGAGGAUGAUCAGCCACACUGGAACUGAGACACGGUCCAGACUCCUACGGGAGGCAGCAGUGGGGAAUAUUGGACAAUGGGCGCAAGCCUGAUCCAGCCAUACCGCGUGGGUGAAGAAGGCCUUCGGGUUGUAAAGCCCUUUUGUUGGGAAAGAAGUCCAGCUGGCUAAUACCCGGUUGGGAUGACGGUACCCAAAGAAUAAGCACCGGCUAACCUCGUGCCAGCAGCCGCAGUAA